CUCCUCCUUUUUUGGGAGUCGGUUAAUAAAAAGGAUUUUGUUUGGUCUACUUACGUUAUUAUAUCUGCUACAAUUACGGAAAUAAUUUUUGAUUGAUUGAUUGAUU
Molecule: long non-coding RNA, 106 nt
Organism: Melitaea cinxia (Glanville fritillary)
Lineage: Eukaryota; Metazoa; Arthropoda; Insecta; Lepidoptera; Nymphalidae
Exons: 3
Source: RefSeq, a predicted model, not a curated record